This 440-nucleotide ribosomal RNA is filed under the name uncultured bacterium. RNAcentral describes it as "partial 16S ribosomal RNA". It matches the Rfam family "Bacterial small subunit ribosomal RNA", at positions 338 to 795 of the family's 1533-position model. The record is from RNAcentral.
CCUACGGGUGGCUGCAGUGGGGAAUAUUGGACAAUGGGGGGAACCCUGAUCCAGCGACGCCGCGUGAGUGAAGAAGUAUUUCGGUAUGUAAAGCUCUAUCAGCAGGGAAGAAAAUGACGGUACCUGACUAAGAAGCCCCGGCUAACUACGUGCCAGCAGCCGCGGUAAUACGUAGGGGGCAAGCGUUGUCCGGAAUUACUGGGCGUAAAGGGCGCGUAGGCGGGAACUUAAGUUAGAUGUGAAAACUCCGGGCUUAACCUGGAGACUGCAUUUAAAACUGGGUUUCUUGAGGGCAGGAGAGGAAAGUGGAAUUCCUAGUGUAGCGGUGAAAUGCGUAGAUAUUAGGAGGAACACCAGUGGCGAAGGCGACUUUCUGGACUGUACCUGACGCUGAGGCGCGAAAGCAUGGGGAGCGAACAGGAUUAGAUACCCUUGUAGUC